AUGCUUCUGUCUUGGCGUUGCUUCGGUCGUCCCGUGGCUUUGAUUUCCUAUCUCUGCCCUACUCAAUUGUGGUCGUGGGCGCGGCUCUGA
RNAcentral lists this ribosomal RNA (90 nucleotides) under Triticum aestivum (bread wheat). RNAcentral's name for it is "partial small subunit ribosomal RNA". The record is from RNAcentral. Lineage: Eukaryota; Viridiplantae; Streptophyta; Magnoliopsida; Poales; Poaceae.